UACAGAGGGUGCUAGCGUUGUUCGGAAUCAUUGGGCGUAAAGGGCGUGUAGGCGGUUUGUUAAGUCAUGUGUGAAAUCCCUCGGCUCAACCGGGGAAGGACGCAUGAAACUGGCAAGCUAGAGUACCAAAGAGGGGGGUGGAAUUCCCGGUGUAGCGGUGAAAUGCGUAGAUAUCGAGAGGAACACCUGCGGCGAAGGCGGGUUGCUGGGCCGACACUGACGCUGAUGCGCGAAAGCCAGGGGAGCGAACGGG
RNAcentral lists this ribosomal RNA (253 nucleotides) under uncultured bacterium. RNAcentral's name for it is "partial 16S ribosomal RNA". It matches the Rfam family "Bacterial small subunit ribosomal RNA", at positions 524 to 776 of the family's 1533-position model. The record is from RNAcentral.